Macaca mulatta (Rhesus monkey) is the source of this 1414-nucleotide non-coding RNA. The record is from RefSeq and is a predicted model, not a curated record. NCBI's taxonomy places the organism in Eukaryota, Metazoa, Chordata, Mammalia, Primates, Cercopithecidae.
CACUGGGAUUCAAGAUUCUCGUACCUCAGCCUCCUGAGUAGCUGGGACUACAGAAAGCAGAACCAUGAUUAAACACCCAGUGAAUAAUUUGGGAUGCUGAUGAAAUCAAGGAAGACUGGAAAAGCAACCUGCUGGGUGUGCUGUGGAGAGAUUUCCUAUACUGGGCAGAAGCAACUGAAAAUCUCUGCAACAACUUGGCAAUGGAAUGUGAAGGAGCCGAACAAGGAAGGACCAGACGACUGACUCAUGGGGUUUGGUUGAAGGAGAUGAGGGCAAGGAGAAAAGGGAUAUGAAGAGGGUUGCAGAGGCUGUGGGAGGAAGGAGAUAGAAAAGGCCUUCGGCAAAGAUACUUUUCUGCCUACAUCUAUGUUGGCCAUAUGGGGAUGCCAUAAAUACCUUGAACACUGGAGGAGCUAGGUGUGGCACCAGACAUCAAGAUGGCCCUUAAGGAUUCUAGCCUCCUGGUAUUCAUGUUCUUAUAUAGUCUCCUCCAACAUUGAAAAGGGCUGACCUGUGUAACCAAUAGGAUAUUGUGGGAAUGAUGGAGUUUGUCCUGAGGCUAGAUCAUGAAAGACAUGUGGUUCUUGGACCACUUAAUCAUGGAGAAGACGGCUGCCAUGUUGUGAAGACUCUCAAGCAGCUCUGUGGAGAGGUCCAUAGGUGAAGAACUGAGACCCCCCUCCAAGUGAGCAAUCUUGGAGGUGGAUCCUUUCCUCUCAUUCAGGCCUUCAGAUGACUACAGCCUGGGCUGGUAUCUUGACUACAACCUUAUGGGGAACCCUAAGGCAACACCAGCUAAGAUUCUCCUGAAUUCCUCACCCGAAGAAACUAUGAGAUAAUAAAUCUGUGUUGGUUUAAGCCACUGUGUAUUGAGAUAACUAAUUAUGUGGCAAUAGAAAACUAAUACGCUAAGAGAUGAAUUAAAUAGAGAAUCCACUCCAAGAUUCCACUGUCCAUUUGUUUAUCCUUUUAAAUUCUGUGUCUGCCUGACUGGCCCACAAGACUCUAGGAUUAUCAAGGAUACUACCCUACCCUUACAUAAUAAAGCGUGUAGGCUGGGUGAGGUGGCUUAUGCUGGUAAUCCUAGUGCUUUGGAAGGCUGAGGUGGGAGGAUUACUUGAGGCCACGAGAUCAAGAUCAGCCUGGGCAACAUCGUGAGGCCAGGAGAUCAAGACCAGCCUGGGUGACGGAGUCAGACUCUGUCUCUGGAAGUAAGCAAACAGAUAGUUAAAUAAAUAAAUAAAAUAAAGGGUGUGGUGUUUUGGUUACAAUUUUAAGUGCCGAAAGGAGAAAUAUAAGAUACAAUGAAAUGAUAUAACUCAUUAACACUGUUAUUAUUUACAUGUAAAAGUAACUAAAUACAGUUGUGAGAUACUGAAUAAUAUGAGUAAAAUUAUAUGGUGUGCACCUGUCA